GCUUUUCGAUUGAAACUAUUUCCACACUGAUCACAUGUGAACGGCUUCUCUCCCGUGUGAAUUUUCAUGUGGCCUUUAAGAUAUUCUUUUUGAGUGAAACUCAUCCCACACUGUUGGCAGGUGAAAGGUUUCUCUCCAGUGUGAAUCCUCAUGUGACUCAUAAGAUGUCCUUUUUGAGUGAAACUCUUUCCACACUGCUGGCAGGUGUAAGGCUUCUCUCCAGUGUGAAUUCUCAUAUGGCUUUUGAGGCUUCCAUUUUUAGUAAAACUAUUUCCACACAGUUUGCAGGUUAAAGACUUCACUUCAGUGUGAAUUCUAACAUGCCUUUUAAGGAUUACUUUUUGACUGAAACUUAUUCCACACUCUUGGCAGGUAUAAGGCUUCUCUCCAGUGUGAAUUCUCAUGUGGAAUUUGAGACGUCCUUUUCUGCCGAAACGUUUUCCACACUGUUGGCAGGUGAAAAUUUCUCUUUUUCGUGAAGUCUUUUCAGUCUGUGAGCAACCAAUUGACUUUUC
This is a long non-coding RNA of Ctenopharyngodon idella (grass carp), 515 nucleotides long. RefSeq lists it as uncharacterized. The transcript is spliced from 3 exons. The record is from RefSeq and is a predicted model, not a curated record. Lineage: Eukaryota; Metazoa; Chordata; Actinopteri; Cypriniformes; Xenocyprididae.